GGGGGGGGGGGGGUGUAAUUUAACAUUCCUAUUGUGUUAGUCUCCAUCAGGUUUUGUUGCCUUCAAUGUAUGUUGCAACUUGCCAUCGAGUGACCAGUCCCUUUCAUAGUGCAUUGUAAUGUCCAUUCUACUUAUUCUAAUUCUACUGUUAGUGCAGGCCUCUUAUGCUGCCAUGGGAAAGGAGCAGAUGGAAGCUCUCUUCAGUUCACAGUCCACUGCUGUCCACAAGCUCUCACCUGGGAGAGGGAACAAAUGACAAUGUUGUUAAAUGAACCACUCAUAUACCAUAUAAUCCAAUUUUAAGGAUCUAACUUUGAUUGUGUCUAAUAGACCUGUUGAUUAAAACAGUAUCAGAAUGUUAUGGUCAUGAAAGAACAGAAAUCUUAUAAUACAACAUGCUCUCAUAACCAAAACCAAGUUCAUCUGGGUCCUUCCCAGACUUUUUAUGAUUUAUAGCCUUAUUUAUCAACAGUCUCCAAGGUAGCAUUUCACAAUAUAACCUGUUAUUGAUAGCACUGUGACUUAGAAAAUAUUAUAUUGUUAAUACUUAAAAAGUUGUCAAUAUAGAUAUAAAAUAUUUUUAAAGGUAUGAGUCUCACCAAUUCUGAACAUCUCCAGACAAGCCUGCUUGUCUGUCUGUGUGUCUGGGUGACCGGGCAUCCAGUCACUGUAGCCCCAGGCGGACCCGUCGGUCCACUCUGACUGCUUAUCCUGCAGGGGUCACAACACACACACACAUACACACCAUUAAAACUCUUGGAAAAUGGCUUGGUUACUAUUAGACAUUCUGAUUGAACAAGAUUGAGAGGGUCAUGGAAUACUGACCUUCACGACUCUUGGUGGCCCUGGUCACCAUGGAGACCGGGCGGGAGUGCAGGUCGCCGUUGGUUACGGAGGCCAGGUGUCAGUGAGGGGAGAGAAUUCUGCAGGAGGACUGGACGCACACACACACACACAAAUAUUAGGACAGCUGUUUGUUUAAGAGAAAAGCGAAUAUGACUGACUGGGUGUAUAUUUCACCUCUGCCUCACUGAAGGUCAUUAGUGUGGGGUUGAACUGAUAGCAGUGGCCAUCGAUGACCUCACCAACACACUCUUUCUCUGAAUGAAUCUCAGCCUUAGCACUCACCAGCCUGCCAUCUACAGGGAGAAGGACAGCAAGCAUACUCCAUCAGUACACAAACACACACAAACUGUACACACACACACACAUACUGUACACACAAACACUCUCUCACCCUGAGGUGUCAGUUUCAUGCUUCUCUCCAUCUCUCCAACAGGCCUAAUGAUGCGUCCACUCCUGAUGUCCACCAGAGUUUUCUGGGAGUUCUCGGUUCCCUGUCUGAACUCAUCCACAGAGCCGGUGUUCAGGUUCAUAAUGAAUCGUCUGGAGAGCUCUGUUCCCUGUCUACGUUCCUCCACUGGGACACUCCGGACCUCAUCCUCGACCAGCCUCACAUCUACAGGGAGAAGGAGAGGGCCACUGAAUAAGCAAUUCAAGUGGACAGGCUUUUAGAUAUGGAUAUGAAUAUAUAUAGGCCUGAUGAUGCGUCCGCUCCUGAUGUCCACCAGAGUUUUCUGGGAGUUCUCGGUUCCCUGUCUGAACUCAUCCACAGAGGAAGGAGUGUACACUGGAGAGGAGAUGAGCAGGGGAGAAAGACAAUAUAUAAAACCCCAAAUGUAAAAAAUAAAUCAAAUUUCUGGAUAAUGUAACAUUUCAAUGCCCUGUACCUGGUGCCACUCUCCUGUCCAUCUCACUGAUGUGUUCCUUGACGAGGCCGGUGUUCAGGUCCAUGAUGAAGCGUCUGGAGGGCUCUGUUCCCUGUCUGCGUUCCUCCACUGGGAGACUCCCGGGCAGAACAUCAGCCCUCACCCAUCCUCCCACUCUCCUCUGGACUGGGACCUCCAUAGGCUCUGGAUUGAAAAUACAUGGGUUUGAUGAUGCGUCCGCUCCUGAUGUCCACCAGAGUCUUCUGGGAUUUCUCGGUUCCCUGUCUGAACUCAUCCACAGAGGGAGGAACGGACACUAGAGAGAGAGAGAAAUAUACAGACACAACAUCUGUUACACUGUUUUCAGCAAUAUCAGUUACACUGUUUUCAGCAAUAUCAGUUACUCUGUUACACUGUUUUCAGCAAUAUCAGUUACACUGUUUUCAGCAAUAUCAGUUACACUGUUUUCACCCAUAGCUGUAACACUGUUUUCACCCAUAGCUGUAACACUGUUUUCACCCAUAUCUGUU
Salvelinus namaycush (lake trout) is the source of this 2239-nucleotide long non-coding RNA. RefSeq lists it as uncharacterized. Lineage: Eukaryota; Metazoa; Chordata; Actinopteri; Salmoniformes; Salmonidae. The transcript is spliced from 4 exons. The record is from RefSeq and is a predicted model, not a curated record.